AGCAGUCGCCGCGGGAAUACGUAGGGUGCAAGCGUUAAUCGGAAUUACUGGGCGUAAAGCGUGCGCAGGCGGUUAUAUAAGACAGAUGUGAAAUCCCCGGGCUCAACCUGGGAACUGCAUUUGUGACUGUAUAGCUAGAGUACGGCAGAGGGGGAUGGAAUUCCGCGUGUAGCAGUGAAAUGCGUAGAUAUGCGGAGGAACACCGAUGGCGAAGGCAAUCCCCUGGGCCUGUACUGACGCUCAUGCACGAAAGCGUGGGGAGCAAACAGGAUUAGAUACCCCGGUAGUCCUGUCUCUUAUACA
RNAcentral lists this ribosomal RNA (303 nucleotides) under uncultured bacterium. Its description in RNAcentral is "partial 16S ribosomal RNA". It matches the Rfam family "Bacterial small subunit ribosomal RNA", at positions 507 to 809 of the family's 1533-position model. The record is from RNAcentral.